CCUACGGGAGGCAGCAGUGGGGAAUUUUGGACAAUGGGGGCAACCCUGAUCCAGCAAUGCCGCGUGAGUGAAGAAGGCCCUCGGGUUGUAAAGCUCUUUUGUCAGGGAAGAAACGGUCUACUCUAAUACAGUGGGCUAAUGACGGUACCUGAAGAAUAAGCACCGGCUAACUACGUGCCAGCAGCCGCGGUAAUACGUAGGGUGCAAGCGUUAAUCGGAAUUACUGGGCGUAAAGCGUGCGCAGGCGGUUUUAUAAGACAGAGGUGAAAUCCCCGGGCUCAACCUGGGAACUGCCUUUGUGACUGUAAGGCUAGAGUGUGUCAGAGGGGGGUAGAAUUCCACGUGUAGCAGUGAAAUGCGUAGAUAUGUGGAGGAAUACCGAUGGCGAAGGCAGCCCCCUGGGAUAACACUGACGCUCAUGCACGAAAGCGUGGGGAGCAAACAGGAUUAGAUACCCUGGUAGUCCACGCCCUAAACGAUGUCUACUAGUUGUCGGGACUUAAUUGUCUUGGUAACGCAGCUAACGCGUGAAGUAGACCGCCUGGGGAGUACGGUCGCAAGAUUAAAACUCAAAGGAAUUGAACGGCGUGAGAGUGCGACGACGACGACGAGGGAGAGG
RNAcentral lists this ribosomal RNA (619 nucleotides) under uncultured bacterium. RNAcentral's name for it is "bacterial SSU rRNA". It matches the Rfam family "Bacterial small subunit ribosomal RNA", at positions 338 to 950 of the family's 1533-position model. The record is from RNAcentral.